Long non-coding RNA from Felis catus (domestic cat), 5814 nucleotides. RefSeq lists it as uncharacterized. Lineage: Eukaryota; Metazoa; Chordata; Mammalia; Carnivora; Felidae. The transcript is spliced from 2 exons. The record is from RefSeq and is a predicted model, not a curated record.
CGCGCCGCGCGCCCCCGGCGCCGCCCGCCCACACGCCCGCUCCCCUUCCGCGCUCGCCCGCUCGCACGGCUUCGGGCCCGGCCUGGCCGGCCGCCUGGCCGUCAGCGGCACCUAGGAGCCCGCCCGUGGGCCCGAGAGGCCGCUUCUCCAGUCCUCGGGAGUCCAGUGUUAACCGUUGUUAACAGUGAGAUGGAGUGGACCCCCCCCCCCGCCCCCACCCGCCACCCCGGCACCCCUCCCAGCCCGAACUGUGUGCGCGUGAAAGGUGCCCUCCUUGCGAUACAGUGGAUCUUUUGGAGAGAUGGAUUCCCCGUGCUUGAAGGAACAGGAAUAAUAAUAAACAGGCGUAUGAAGCCUUGUGAAGAAGGGCACAGAAUAAGGGAUCUAAGAUUGAGUAGGUGAAUAAGGAGAAUAGAGACAGACGCAGGCAGGCAUGGGUAGAUAACAGGGGAAACACAGACCUAAGUGGAAGAGAUGGCUUCCUGCUACCUGUAGCAUUUAGGGGUGCGGGCCGCUGACGCAUGUGGCUUGUGUACAUGUGACAGUUGGUAUGUGGCUAGAUCCUGUUAAUGUUUUCAGUGACCUUAUUGGUGGCUCCCCAAAAUACAUAUAAAUUGGGACAUACUCAUUCUUGUUACAUCCUUUGAAGGCAUGUCAGCGGUUAUGAUUCAAUAUUUCCAAAUGGUAAAGGCGACCCAGGAAAUGGUGUUGUGUGGCCAAAGUGUGGAGGGAAAUUCAAAUCAGUAAAUAGCAUCCACUCGAGGACAGGAUUGUUUCCCCAGCGUCUCUUGGAAUCAGGAAGUAUGAUUUAUUUUUGUUAAUAAUGGAUUGUUUUUGUUCCAUCCUAGUCCUUGAUUCGUUUAUUCAGUACGUAGUUACGGUGCCUUUGCAAAAAGCUGGAAAAAAAAUGAUAUGUCUUUGGGCCUUUCGGAAAGAAACAGAAAUCGUUGGGGGAUGAGGAGGACGAGGAAGGUGAACCUUUUCUCAUACUAUUUUCUUGGAAUCUGUAUCAGACAAGUAGAAGGGAAUCCCUUUUUGUAUUAGAUUAUAUAGCCUUUGACAGACUCUCAACGUGUUUUGUUUUCUUCUUGCUAAAAAUUUUUCAAAAUACAUAGAAUCGUUACAUAGAAGUUAGUGGCAUCGAUGUGAGACCAUGGGACCUGCCGGGGGCAAGAUAGACAAUAGAGAAAAGAAAAGGGAACUGACAGACAAGCUGAGGUCUUAAUUCAGAGGGCUUCGUCUGAGUGACUUGGCCUCUCCCACUGGCAGUCCACACCGUCUGUGCACGUACCUUGGGCAUCCCAUCAGCUGGGAUUCAUGAUAUAUGUUGUCUGUAACGUUUAUGCACUUAAAUGAAUGCAAAUGGCUGGAUUCUAACCACAGAGUUUCGCAAAAACUAUGCUUAAAUGGUAGAAAGGUAUCCAUGGAUGUGUGUGUAUCAUUCACGUGGUGUUCUCAUAUUUUUGGUUAUAUUGAGAAGGAACAGUUGGUAUUUUGGAGUGCCAUUUUCUAUGACCUUGCCCUACAGAGUCCAAGAUCGCCUGGUUCAUCAUGGAGCAGCUGAGGUGGGGCUCUUGACCUAUGUGGUGUGAACCCCACAUACUUAGUAUUUAAGGCACAUUAAAUGCAUGGGAAAUUCACUUCUUCAGAGUUUUAUAUGAAGAACUGAAAAUCAUUUACUGUCUUAAAGUAGUAAGUCAGCCAAAAUCUCUACAUCUAUACCAUCAACACACACACUCACACACACACACACACACACACACACUCACACACCCCUACACCGAUAACAGCAACAACACAUUGGCCUCAUAGACAGUAUUGAAAGUGCAUUUUAACAGCAUCUUCCUUAAAAAGCAUCAGUAAAAAUUAUUCACAUCUCUCCUCCUUAUCUUGUCUGUGACCACUUUGAAAAAUAGGCUGCUCUGUGUUAUGGGUGUCAAAACCUUUGACUGUACUUUGAGACUCUAUGUAAAUACUUUUUGUAACAAUUUUCCUUUUAUUUGCUAUUGAUAUGAUUUAGGAAGAAACAAAGUAGUUGGGUUUAUCAUUGUGGCUAAAACCCCACAUGUUGUGGUUCACAGGCCUUUUCAGUCUUGUAAAAUAAAAUACCGACAGCUGUGCGACCCCUCUGAGUGUACAAUGAGGUUCUUAACAGGUUGUCGGAGGACAAGAAAGUCUGUAGACGAAAUGAGAAAAACACUACAGGGUUGAAAAAGUUUCGCGGGACUAUCACCGUGUCUUUCCAGCCUAAAAACUGCAACAAUGAAGCCCUUUUGAGAAAUGUGAGGGUCCGCGUGAUGGACUCGGGUUGUUUUCGUCAUUCUUAUUCUACAGGUUUUUACUUGAAGUGCGAAUCCCAGCAGUGAGAAAAUCACAGCCAUGCUGAAUUCAUUACUGCGGUAGUCACACAAAACCACGGAUAAAAUUUCAAUAACUGCAGGCCACAGUUGAGUAAACAGUUGCACUGAAAUUUAAUUCCUGUUGACUUUUCCCCCAUUCCUCGCCAGGGGCACAUUCUGAUUCUGUAGCACAAAGACAACAGGGGUUACAGCUUUGAUUAAUGUAGGACAGUGGAAGAGAAUUAGAACUGUAAGAUAUGUUAGAAGUCCAUGGAACAAAAAGAUGUGGCUUAAAAGGGCUUGGUAUGAAAAUGAGUUAAUUAUGCUGUGUGUAACACUGAAUGUUCUAGGAUUUUCCAGUUGCACCAGUGCAAUCGUUGAUGAUGUAGGGAGAAUUUUUACCUAGUGCCAGGACUUUAAAUAAAUGCAAGCCUUUCCAUGUUUGAUUCUUAUUACCAAAGAUAAUUACAGAUGAUAGCAAGUGCCCUUUCAGAAUGGAGAGCUUUCACACAGAUUAGCUGUGGGAGGAGUGACUUCUAGACUGGGAUUGGUCUGUAGGUUGGCUAAAUUAGGUCCAAACAGGAUAGUUUUAAAAAAAAAAAAGUUCAUAGCUGACAACCUCGAAAGGUGGCGGGAAUCUGGCUUUUCCAUCUUCUCUUGAAAAAUCAGAAGAUCUGGUGACCAGAGAGCAGGAUUCCUACAAGGGCAACAGUUGUUCAAGGAUGAAUUGGUCCUCAAGUCAGGGAGCCUGCAGCCCUCCAGUCCGCCCCAGCUCCCAUCUAGCAACAACGCUCCUUCGUGGCCCUUUAGGCCUUGGAGUUGGUGGUUCUGUGGGAUGCCAUCAUCACUCAGAAGCCAUCACCCAGGGAGAGGCGCUGCCGUUAGCUGGCCGAGUCCGCCAACAGACUCCCAACCGGUCCUCCUUCCUCAGAACUAGAUGUAUUAUCUCUGUACUGUUUCAAGUCGACUUCUGUCCAGGCCAUGAAACUAUUAGAACAAUAGUUUUCUAAUAAUGUAAUUUGAUAGACUUUCUGAACAUUUCUUUUAGCCACUGGGUAAUUCUUCACCCGAUACCAUAACUGCCUCUUAUUUCCUAUUAUGCCUUCCCCCCAUCCCUGGGUCUGUAAAAGUUCCGUAUCGGAGAUGCACUACUCCAUUAGGAAACUCGGCAACAAAUACUAUUACCAAUUACUAAAGUUUUUUUUUUUUCUCCUAAAGAAAGGAUUUUAAAAUGUCCAGAGCAAUUUCAUAAACUGUGUGGAUUAAUGCGUUUUAAAAGUCUUGAAUUUUAGAAAGCAGAAUUUUAUUUCCAUAUUGCUGCAAAUGAGAGCUUUUUCAGAUAAGCAUAUUACAUAGAGCAUAAUGUUUAGAAGUUUCUCCAUAUACAGCAUAUGCUGUCAGGUCAAUUAACAGAAUGCAUACUAGAAAAUGUUUAUUCAAUAAAAAUGAAUAGCUGUUAAAUAAAACAGCUAUUUCUUAACAACAUUCCAUUUAAUGAUGGGGUUUUUUUUUUGGGUACCACCUGGCAGUUUUAUUGUCUGAAAAUCAGUAUAGAGAGAGCUUUGGUUGCUGUGGUUUUGAGGUGUGGCCAUUGUUUUAUAGGAGGAGGGCAGUUUAGAAGUAGUCUGUGAGAAAAACGUUAAAAAAUAGAUAAACCACAUAUGGGAAUUGAAUAUGGAUUCUUCAGAGAGUGUGAGUCAGGGAAGUAUUUGUUUCAUCCAUUGACAUUGGUCCUUUGACAUUUGGCAUGAGGGUUUGGGCCUUUUGGCCCUAAAGAUGCAUACAUGCCAUCAACACAUGUGUAUAUGUACAUGUUUCCUGUUAAUAAUGUAAAAGAAAGAAAACAUCGAAUGAGCGCUGAGGGGUUAAGAGAGAUGUAAAGGGCAUGUAUCUUCUGAAAGAAACGUCGUGAGAGGGAAGAAGGAUCUGUUGGGUCGUGUUUUGCCAGUGAGUCACUGCACAGGGCCAGAGAAGCUCCGAGAAACAGCGUGAGUGUGAGAGAGCUCAAGAAGGAAAUCUGGCUGUGGACAUUCACAGGGGAUGUGGAAAAUACAGUGUCAGAGAGGCACGGGAGAAUCACGAGUCGACAGCCUGGGGUCCUCAGGACAUGAGAAACCAAACUGUAAUGACCAGAGUGUGAACACUUGAGGCUAAACCGUUACAGGACCAUUGAGAAUUCCUCUCUUGACUUGCAAAAUGGCAGAGUGAAUUUCUCCUUCAUUUUGUUCUUGUUACUGAAAUGACUAGUGGGUACUGAGCAAAAGAGGGCCGUUGUCCUGCCAACAUUUUUCAGAUUUCAGUGCCUCUGUGAAAAACAGCGCCUGGAAGAAGUAUCUGUCCGUGUUGGGAUGGGCGGUGAGCUCGCAUAAAAGAAAACAUUUCUGUGCUUCUCAUUCUUCCCCAUAUUCCUUUGUGGGAACAGUGCUGCCUUUACAGUGGCCAUCACUCUCCUUGUUCCUCCCUCUACACAGGGAGGCCCAAGUGAUUAGCUGUGGAUUGGUCUGAAGGCCAGGUCGCAGUGGCCACUUGGGCCUUACCGUUCUUCUCUUUGCAAAACGUUGUUCUAUUAACAUUGUUAGGAAUGCCCCGAAGUGGCCUUUUGCACUGUAGCUGCCAGGGACUGUGUCUGAAAGGAGGGUCUUUUGAUGCCAUUGGAAGGGAAAAGAUAGUCAGCAUUUCUGUGUCCGACCAUGGAAACUUCUGGAAGGGAGUGUAGAAGAAGGUAUUAUUAAUAUUUCUUAAGUUCCCUCCUUGGUGCAGGUACUGUGAUACGGGCUAGCCCCUUCCUUCACCGGUGGGUGAAAAUUCAAACCCUCAUUUUAAAGGGCUCACUCUACCAAGAUAUAUUCUUGUUUGAACACAAUGUGGAGUUCAAAUAUUACAGAAAUUACUGAUGAUGAAAAAGGUAGAGUAGGAAUCAGGGCCACCAAAAUGUUAGCGCAGACCACACGAACAAAUUGAGAUAAAACUGAGACAGGGAUUCAGAUAAUUGUGACCAAUAGAGAAAAUGCUGCCCCAACAGUAAGAGAUUCCCCCCUUUUCUCAAUUCCUUUUUGUGGCUAUUUCUGGAAAAGGCCUUUUUCACCCUGAAUGCUAAAUUUAGUUUUCUACUCCGUGAGUUUGGACCUCCCUCUCAUCAAAAUAUUGUCAAAGAUGUAUGUAACUUGUGAUGUGAGCCCUGUAUGAAAUCCUUUCAAGUUUCGAUUACUAAACAGUUGUGUGUCAUUAAUUUCUCCGCUGAAAGUUAAGCUGGCAUGAGAAACAACAAAAAGCAAGCCAUGUGCGUAAGAGAGCCUGGGAAUAGAACCCCAGAUGCCACAUUUCAUCAUGAGAGAAGUGUACCCUCUGGACUUUAAGCUGAGGCGUCACUACUUUGAGCAGAAAAUGUGGCGGAGAGAGUUUCACGUACUCACCUGGCCUCAGCUUUGUUCCACGUGAGCUAAUAAACGUGCUGCCCUGGAAAAUACCUUGUUAA